UAAAAAUUUAUCUAUUUUAGGUAGUAACAGAUUUCUUGAAACCUAAAGAAUUUGGCGGUAUUUUAAAUAAUUAGAGGAACCUGUUAUAUAAAUGAUAAACCACAACAUAUCUUACCUUAAUUAAGUUUGUAUACCGUUGUUUUUAGAUUAUGUUUAUAAAUUAUGAUCAAAAUUAAUUAAUUUUUAUAAAUCAAAUCAAGGUGCAGCAUAUUCAGGUUUUAAUGGGUUACAAUAUAUUUAUAUAUACGAAUAAAUUAUGAAAAAUAUUUUAGAAGGUGGAUUUAAAAGUAAUUUAAAAUUAAAAUGUUUAAAUGAAUAAAAAUUUAAAAUAUGC
This 334-nucleotide ribosomal RNA is filed under the name Brachistosternus zambrunoi. Its description in RNAcentral is "partial 12S small subunit ribosomal RNA". Lineage: Eukaryota; Metazoa; Arthropoda; Arachnida; Scorpiones; Bothriuridae. The record is from RNAcentral.